RNAcentral lists this ribosomal RNA (90 nucleotides) under Lycianthes rantonnetii. The record is from RNAcentral. Lineage: Eukaryota; Viridiplantae; Streptophyta; Magnoliopsida; Solanales; Solanaceae.
GAUCCCAUCAGAACUCCGAAGUUAAGCGUGCUUGGGCGAGAGUAGUACUAGGAUGCGUGACCCCUUGGGAAGUCCUCGUGUUGCAUCCCU